AUUGAACGCUGGCGGCAGGCCUAACACAUGCAAGUCGAGCGGAUGAAGGGAGCUUGCUCCUGGAUUCAGCGGCGGACGGGUGAGUAAUGCCUAGGAAUCUGCCUGGUAGUGGGGAUAACGUCCGGAAACGGGCGCUAAUACCGCAUACGUCCUGAUGGAGAAAGCGGGGGAUCUUCGGACCUCACGCUAUCAGAUGAGCCUAGGUCGGAUUAGCUAGUUGGUGGGGUAAAGGCCUACCAAGGCGACGAUCCGUAACUGAUCUGAGAGGAUGAUCAGUCACACUGGAACUGAGACACGGUCCAGACUCCUACGGGAGGCAGCAGUGGGGAAUAUUGGACAAUGGGCGAAAGCCUGAUCCAGCCAUGCCGCGUGUGUGAAGAAGGUCUUCGGAUUGUAAAGCACUUUAAGUUGGGAGGAAGGGCAGUAAGUUAAUACCUUGCUGUUUUGACGUUACCAACAGAAUAAGCACCGGCUAACUUCGUG
RNAcentral lists this ribosomal RNA (483 nucleotides) under uncultured bacterium. Its description in RNAcentral is "partial 16S ribosomal RNA". It matches the Rfam family "Bacterial small subunit ribosomal RNA", at positions 30 to 507 of the family's 1533-position model. The record is from RNAcentral.